AACGAACGCUGGCGGCAUGCCUAACACAUGCAAGUCGAACGAGGCCUUCGGGUCUAGUGGCGCACGGGUGCGUAACGCGUGGGAAUCUACCCUCAGGUUCGGAAUAACUCAGAGAAAUUUGAGCUAAUACCGGAUGAUGACGUAAGUCCAAAGAUUUAUCGCCUGAGGAUGAGCCCGCUUAGGAUUAGGUAGUUGGUGAGGUAAAGGCUUACCAAGCCGACGAUCCUUAGCUGGUCUGAGAGGAUGAUCAGCCACACUGGGACUGAGACACGGCCCAGACUCCUACGGGAGGCAGCAGUGGGGAAUAUUGGACAAUGGGCGAAAGCCUGAUCCAGCAAUGCCGCGUGAGUGAUGAAGGCCUUAGGGUUGUAAAGCUCUUUUACCCGGGAUGAUAAUGACAGUACCGGGAGAAUAAGCUCCGGCUAACUCCGUG
RNAcentral lists this ribosomal RNA (433 nucleotides) under uncultured bacterium. RNAcentral describes it as "partial 16S ribosomal RNA". It matches the Rfam family "Bacterial small subunit ribosomal RNA", at positions 29 to 507 of the family's 1533-position model. The record is from RNAcentral.